GAUGUAUUUCUGUCCUUUAUUCCUUUUAUUUACCGGCCACAACCUCCAGCGUGGGCUCUCCUCAUGUAUGUUUUGAGACGUUUAGUUUUUGCCCCGCCGAGUCUGUGUAGAAGGCGGCCGGCCUGUGUCUGCAGUGGUAAAAGCGAUAUAAUUCGGUAAGAUGUUUAUUUUCGGUUAUUUAGGCUGGUUUAGUUCAAUUUAAUUUGUUAUUCUGCUUCUCGGUAUUUUUAUUGUGUUUUGUCGCUUUCGUUUACCUAGUUGAAUGAUCGGAAUCGUUUUGGCACGGCGCCAGGCGAGGAGGCGAAUUGUAAGUCCUCAAGUGCUGUAUGGGACCUGACUGUGUGAUUUUUCGUUUUAGGAACCGUGUGUUGUGUCAACCCGGCAUAAUACAUGAGUACCGAGAUAUCGCCUCUAAGAGGGGCCCGGCGAGUGAGACACCUGCUACGAGCCCACUUUGAGGCAACAAGCGAACUGCUGCAAAAAGCACAGGCGGUCACAGUUCCGAAUUCGCCUGAAGGACGCCACAGACGCUGGAAACCGCAAGUACAGUCUCCAGAUCUGCAACUGGCGUAUCUACUGCUUCACCUCCUCCUGAUGAGGGGAUCUUCAGCCUGCACUUCCGCAGCCUGGCUGUCACCUGCUGCACAGCAACCUGCGCGAGACCUGACCAGUACUUGGCAUUACGCCAACUGCAUCUGAACUGUGGAACCGUGUGUUGUGUCAACCCGGCAUAAUACAUGAGUACCGAGA
This 750-nucleotide unclassified non-coding RNA is filed under the name Amphibalanus amphitrite. RNAcentral's name for it is "uncharacterized LOC122379626, transcript variant X1". The record is from RNAcentral. Lineage: Eukaryota; Metazoa; Arthropoda; Thecostraca; Balanomorpha; Balanidae.